This 795-nucleotide ribosomal RNA is filed under the name Escherichia coli. RNAcentral's name for it is "partial 23S ribosomal RNA". It matches the Rfam family "Bacterial large subunit ribosomal RNA", at positions 2153 to 2925 of the family's 2925-position model. The record is from RNAcentral. Lineage: Bacteria; Pseudomonadati; Pseudomonadota; Gammaproteobacteria; Enterobacterales; Enterobacteriaceae.
GGCUUUGAAGUGUGGACGCCAGUCUGCAUGGAGCCGACCUUGAAAUACCACCCUUUAAUGUUUGAUGUUCUAACGUUGACCCGUAAUCCGGGUUGCGGACAGUGUCUGGUGGGUAGUUUGACUGGGGCGGUCUCCUCCUAAAGAGUAACGGAGGAGCACGAAGGUUGGCUAAUCCUGGUCGGACAUCAGGAGGUUAGUGCAAUGGCAUAAGCCAGCUUGACUGCGAGCGUGACGGCGCGAGCAGGUGCGAAAGCAGGUCAUAGUGAUCCGGUGGUUCUGAAUGGAAGGGCCAUCGCUCAACGGAUAAAAGGUACUCCGGGGAUAACAGGCUGAUACCGCCCAAGAGUUCAUAUCGACGGCGGUGUUUGGCACCUCGAUGUCGGCUCAUCACAUCCUGGGGCUGAAGUAGGUCCCAAGGGUAUGGCUGUUCGCCAUUUAAAGUGGUACGCGAGCUGGGUUUAGAACGUCGUGAGACAGUUCGGUCCCUAUCUGCCGUGGGCGCUGGAGAACUGAGGGGGGCUGCUCCUAGUACGAGAGGACCGGAGUGGACGCAUCACUGGUGUUCGGGUUGUCAUGCCAAUGGCACUGCCCGGUAGCUAAAUGCGGAAGAGAUAAGUGCUGAAAGCAUCUAAGCACGAAACUUGCCCCGAGAUGAGUUCUCCCUGACUCCUUGAGAGUCCUGAAGGAACGUUGAAGACGACGACGUUGAUAGGCCGGGUGUGUAAGCGCAGCGAUGCGUUGAGCUAACCGGUACUAAUGAACCGUGAGGCUUAACCUUACAACGCCGAAGCUGUU